GCCACUGUAGUUCAGGGGAGUGAGCAGGACGGUCCUAACAUCAAGGUCGGGGAUUCGAUUUCCCUCCGGGGCACCA
This 76-nucleotide transfer RNA is filed under the name Chloroflexota bacterium. RNAcentral's name for it is "Chloroflexi bacterium tRNA-Arg". Lineage: Bacteria; Bacillati; Chloroflexota. The record is from RNAcentral.